AGUAAUUAUGGAUAAUCUUUAUGAUUAUUUUGGUAAAAGUGAUGAAUCGAAAAGGUACGUUGAAGAACAUGGUUUGACGUCAGAGUCAAGACCAGCAAUAUUUGACACCCGUGAUGCUGCUCCAUUUGCUCUACCAAGAGCAUAUGUAACAGUCCAUGUUUAAGCUCUGACGAUAGUUCGAACAAUAGUAGAACUUCUGAGUC
Ctenocephalides felis (cat flea) is the source of this 203-nucleotide long non-coding RNA. RefSeq lists it as uncharacterized. The transcript is spliced from 3 exons. NCBI's taxonomy places the organism in Eukaryota, Metazoa, Arthropoda, Insecta, Siphonaptera, Pulicidae. The record is from RefSeq and is a predicted model, not a curated record.